RNAcentral lists this ribosomal RNA (512 nucleotides) under Buttiauxella ferragutiae. Its description in RNAcentral is "partial 16S rRNA". Lineage: Bacteria; Pseudomonadati; Pseudomonadota; Gammaproteobacteria; Enterobacterales; Enterobacteriaceae. The record is from RNAcentral.
CUGAGCGUCAGUCUUUGUCCAGGGGGCCGCCUUCGCCACCGGUAUUCCUCCAGAUCUCUACGCAUUUCACCGCUACACCUGGAAUUCUACCCCCCUCUACAAGACUCUAGCCUGCCAGUUUCGAAUGCAGUUCCCAGGUUGAGCCCGGGGAUUUCACAUCCGACUUGACAGACCGCCUGCGUGCGCUUUACGCCCAGUAAUUCCGAUUAACGCUUGCACCCUCCGUAUUACCGCGGCUGCUGGCACGGAGUUAGCCGGUGCUUCUUCUGCGAGUAACGUCAAUCACUGCGGUUAUUAACCACAAUGCCUUCCUCCUCGCUGAAAGUACUUUACAACCCGAAGGCCUUCUUCAUACACGCGGCAUGGCUGCAUCAGGCUUGCGCCCAUUGUGCAAUAUUCCCCACUGCUGCCUCCCGUAGGAGUCUGGACCGUGUCUCAGUUCCAGUGUGGCUGGUCAUCCUCUCAGACCAGCUAGGGAUCGUCGCCUAGGUGAGCCAUUACCUCACCUACUA